GCUGGGGCUGGGGCUGGGCGGCGUGGAGCUCGCUCGGCCCCGCGAGGGUUAAGCCGUGCCGGCUCCUGCUGCCCGGCUGGCGGCCAGCUGCCUCCAGGGAGAGGCCGGAGCCGCUGCCCGGAGGGACCCGGAGGGACGCCGUCAGCCGGGGGUGCACCUACCUCAGACCCCCUCCCCGCCCCCAUCCCAGCCUCCAGGAGGAGCAGAAAGUGGGGGCUGCGGGUGGGGAGCCCCUGCCAGCUCAGCCCCCGGGGUGGCUGGAGAGCCAGGGGGGCAGCGAGACGCGGAGAUGGCCGAUGAGCCCGCCUGGCUGGACCUGCUGGGCCGGUGGACCUACGGAGUGGACCCCGGUGGGAGAGUCUUCUUCAUCAAUGAUGAGGAAAAGUCAACCAGUUGGGUGCACCCUGGUACGAAAUCCCCCAUCCAGAGUGGAUACUGCUCCAGCCCAGGUUUGCCCAGGGGCUGGGAGAUGGAUUCCACCCGGGAAGGAGCCGUGUAUUUCAUCAA
Molecule: long non-coding RNA, 507 nt
Organism: Myotis lucifugus (little brown bat)
Lineage: Eukaryota; Metazoa; Chordata; Mammalia; Chiroptera; Vespertilionidae
Exons: 3
Source: RefSeq, a predicted model, not a curated record